UACGUAGGGGGCAAGCGUUGUCCGGAAUUAUUGGGCGUAAAGCGCGCGCAGGCGGCCUAUUAAGUCCGAUGUGAAAGCCCACGGCUCAACCGUGGAGGGCCAUUGGAAACUGGUAGGCUUGAGUGCAGGAGAGGAGAGCGGAAUUCCCGGUGUAGCGGUGAAAUGCGCAGAUAUCAGGAAGAACACCUAUGGCGAAGGCAGCUCUCUGGGACGGUACUGACGCUGAGACGCGAAAGCGUGGGGAGCGAACAGG
Molecule: ribosomal RNA, 253 nt
Filed under: uncultured bacterium
Lineage: Bacteria
Description: partial 16S ribosomal RNA
Rfam family: Bacterial small subunit ribosomal RNA
Source: RNAcentral